AUUCUCACACCCUGUAGAGGUGAGAUGGGAUCUAUUUUUUGCUUACCCUGGAGUCUCUUCCAGGAAAGAGGAAUGGGAGAUCCCCUUGGGUGAAAUUUUGCUGCUGGGAAAGAGAAAAACCAAAUUGAGCUCAAUUCUUCAUUAACAUCCUCUUGAUAGAUGGAAUCCUAGAGUAAAACCCACCCCCAAACAUUUCCUUCUCAAUCCUGAAAUUUACCCCAUGAAUCUUCUUUCACUGGACCCAUUUUCACCACCAGGCGAAAAUUCCCCCCUGGGUGCCAGAGAACACCCCGUAUCUCAUUCUCUACCUUGGUCACCAGCCCUUCGGACUUCUUAUAUAUAUCUGGUUCAUUAAACUUGGUUUUAAGCUUCUCACUUGAAGAGUUAUGGGGAGUACAGUGAGGGGGCCUUGGGAUGACUGCUCAUUUCAUUGUUGAUCCUGCCUCAUUGUUAGAAAGUUCACAUUCUUUUGCUCUAAUGGAUCUCUUUACUUAGUUGCACUAUGAAGCAGUUGCCUCCUAAAUCCUUUAUAUAAAACACCCAUUAUUUGAGUCCUUUUGGGAAAAUAGCUAUUUAGACAAGAUAGGUCAGGUUAUGCCAUGGUGACAAUAGCCUGAAAAUGUUAAUGGCAUAAGGUUCUUUUCGUACCUCUACAAAGGUUGCCAGGGGUGUCUUCCAAGUGACAAUUUGGCAACCUGGGCUGCUUCCAGCUCAGCUCAGUUCCACCAUGUCACCACAAGGCCUUCUGGGUCGCAAGACCGGAAGAGACUGCGGGGAGAUCACAUGCUUCUCUGCUUCUCCAUGCUUCAGCCCGGAAAUGGUGCUUGUUGCUUCUGCCCACAGCCCAUUGGUCAGAGCUGUCACGUGACCUCAGCUAACUGCAAGGUGGCUGGGAAGUGUGGGGUUCCAGAUGGAAUAUUUGGUGAGCAUGGCUGUUUCUGCUGAACUCCACCUGCCCUUUCUUACCCUCAGGCAGGUGGAGAUGCCCUAGUGGCUGGGGAGUGGCUGUGCAGGCACUUGAAGGGGAACCUCCCAUGGAAUAAUCAAAGUAGAGUAAGUGGGAGCUGGAAGGACCGUAGGAAGCAUCUAGACCUACUUCCUCCUACCUCCAUUUUAUAGAUGAUUAAAGUGCAGCCCAGAGACACUCAGUGGCUAACUCAUGGUCACACAGCAAGUUAGGGGCAGCUUGGGAAGGUGGAGGAGGGGUGCACUGGGAGAGUGCUGGGGCUGUGCAGCUC
RNAcentral lists this long non-coding RNA (1238 nucleotides) under Homo sapiens (human). Its description in RNAcentral is "HSALNT0239703". The record is from RNAcentral. Lineage: Eukaryota; Metazoa; Chordata; Mammalia; Primates; Hominidae.